RNAcentral lists this ribosomal RNA (369 nucleotides) under uncultured bacterium. RNAcentral describes it as "bacterial SSU rRNA". It matches the Rfam family "Bacterial small subunit ribosomal RNA", at positions 527 to 896 of the family's 1533-position model. The record is from RNAcentral.
GUAGGGUGCAAGCGUUAAUCGGAAUUACUGGGCGUAAAGCGUGCSCAGGCGGUUUCGUAAGUCUGUCGUGAAAUCCCCGGGCUUAACCUGGGAAUGGCGAUGGAGACUGCGAGGCUAGAGUUUGGCAGAGGGGGGUAGAAUUCCACGUGUAGCAAUGAAAUGCGUAGAGAUGUGGAGGAACACCGAUGGCGAAGGCAGCCCCCUGGGUCAAAACUGACGCUCAUGCACGAAAGCGUGGGGAGCAAACAGGAUUAGAUACCCUGGUAGUCCACGCCCUAAACGAUGUCUACUAGUUGUCGGGUCUUAAUUGACUUGGUAACGCAGCUAACGCGUGAAGUAGACCGCCUGGGGAGUACGGUCGCAAGAUUA